RNAcentral lists this ribosomal RNA (244 nucleotides) under Blastocystis sp. RNAcentral describes it as "partial 18S ribosomal RNA". It matches the Rfam family "Eukaryotic small subunit ribosomal RNA", at positions 87 to 348 of the family's 1831-position model. Lineage: Eukaryota; Bigyra; Opalinata; Blastocystidae. The record is from RNAcentral.
CUGCGAAUGGCUCAUUAUAUCAGUUAUAGUUUAUUUGGUGAAGGGACUAAUUGGAUAACCGUAGUAAUUCUAGGGCUAAUACAUGAGUAAAGUCCCGUUGGGAUGUGUUUAUUAGAAUGAAAACCAUAUGCUUCGGCAUGAUAGUGAGUAAUAGUAACCUAUCGUAUCGCAUGCUUAAUGUAGCGAUGAGUCUUUCAAGUUUCUGCCCUAUCAGCUUUCGAUGGUAGCAUAUGGGUCUACCAUG